GAUAAACGCUGGCGGCGCACAUAAGACAUGCAAGUUGAACGGACUUAAUCGAAAUAUUUAUAUUUUGAAGCGGUUAGUGGCGGACUGGUGAGUAACGCGUAAGGAACCUGCCUAUUAGAGGGGAAUAACAGUGAGAAAUCAUUGCUAAUACCGCAUAUGCCAUAGAUAUCACAUGAUAACAGUGGGAAAGGAGCAAUCCGCUAAUAGAUGGCCUUGCGUCUGAUUAGAUAGUUGGUGGGGUAACGGCCUACCAAGUCGACGAUCAGUAGCCGGACUGAGAGGUUGAACGGCCACAUUGGGACUGAGAUACGGCCCAGACUCCUACGGGAGGCAGCAGUCGGGAAUAUUGCGCAAUGGAGGAAACUCUGACGCAGUGACGCCGCGUAUAGGAAGAAGGUUUUCGGAUUGUAAACUAUUGUCGUUAGGGAAGAGAAAGGACAGUACCUAAGGAGGAAGCUCCGGCUAGCUACGUG
Molecule: ribosomal RNA, 473 nt
Filed under: uncultured bacterium
Lineage: Bacteria
Description: partial 16S ribosomal RNA
Rfam family: Bacterial small subunit ribosomal RNA
Source: RNAcentral